This 534-nucleotide ribosomal RNA is filed under the name Triticum aestivum (bread wheat). Its description in RNAcentral is "partial small subunit ribosomal RNA". Lineage: Eukaryota; Viridiplantae; Streptophyta; Magnoliopsida; Poales; Poaceae. The record is from RNAcentral.
AUGGCGUGGAGCGCCGCCGCCGUCUCCAGAUUCGCCGCCUCCCCGGCCGCCGAGAUCCGCCUGCCCUUCUCAGCAGCAGCCGCCGCCUCCGUCUCAUUCGCCGGGCGCCGCCGCUUCGGCCCCGUCGCCGCGUCCCUCGCCACCUCCGCCACCGUUCAAAAGGAGGCUGUUCAGACGGAGAAGGCGCCAGCAGCACUAGGCCCCUACUCUCAGGCGAUAAAAGCAAACAAUCUUGUGUUUGUCUCGGGCGUUCUUGGCCUAAAUCCUGAGACAGGGAAGUUUGUCUCUGAAAGCGUGGAGGAGCAAACCGAGCAGGUUAUGAAGAACAUGGGUGAAAUAUUGAAAGCAAGUGGUGCUAGCUACUCAUCAGUUGUCAAGACAACAAUCAUGUUAGCGGACCUACAGGAUUUCAAGAACGUGAAUGAGAUUUACGCUAAAUAUUUUCCAGCCCCUGCACCAGCGCGCUCGACCUACCAAGUCGCAGCUCUGCCACUGAACGCCAGGAUUGAGAUCGAAUGCAUUGCUGCCCUCUAG